GAUGAACGCUAGCGGCAGGCUUAACACAUGCAAGUCGAGGGGCAGCAUAAUGGAUAGCAAUAUCUAUGGUGGCGACCGGCGCACGGGUGCGUAACGCGUAUGCAACCUACCUUUAACAGGGGGAUAACACUGAGAAAUUGGUACUAAUACCCCAUAAUAUCAUAGAAGGCAUCUUUUAUGGUUGAAAAUUCCGAUGGUUAGAGAUGGGCAUGCGUUGUAUUAGCUAGUUGGUGGGGUAACGGCUCACCAAGGCGACGAUACAUAGGGGGACUGAGAGGUUAACCCCACACACUGGUACUGAGACACGGACCAGACUCCUACGGGAGGCAGCAGUGAGGAAUAUUGGUCAAUGGACGCAAGUCUGAACCAGCCAUGCCGCGUGCAGGAUGACGGCUCUAUGAGUUGUAAACUGCUUUUGUACGAGGGUAAACGCAGAUACGUGUAUCUGUCUGAAAGUAUCGUACGAAUAAGGAUCGGCUAACUCCGUG
RNAcentral lists this ribosomal RNA (488 nucleotides) under uncultured bacterium. RNAcentral's name for it is "partial 16S ribosomal RNA". It matches the Rfam family "Bacterial small subunit ribosomal RNA", at positions 28 to 507 of the family's 1533-position model. The record is from RNAcentral.